RNAcentral lists this ribosomal RNA (195 nucleotides) under uncultured bacterium. RNAcentral describes it as "partial 16S rRNA". It matches the Rfam family "Bacterial small subunit ribosomal RNA", at positions 338 to 524 of the family's 1533-position model. The record is from RNAcentral.
CCUACGGGAGGCAGCAGUGGGGAAUCUUCCGCAAUGGACGAAAGUCUGACGGAGCAACGCCGCGUGAGUGAUGAAGGUUUUCGGACUGUAAAACUCUGUUGUUUAGGACGAAAGUGCCUGUUGCAAAUAGUUGCAGGUAUUGACGGUACUGAACGAGGAAGCCACGGCUAACUACGUGCCAGCAGCCGCGGUAAU